This 684-nucleotide ribosomal RNA is filed under the name Prototheca lentecrescens. Its description in RNAcentral is "Prototheca sp. MI-2021a partial large subunit ribosomal RNA". It matches the Rfam family "Eukaryotic large subunit ribosomal RNA", at positions 36 to 667 of the family's 3401-position model. Lineage: Eukaryota; Viridiplantae; Chlorophyta; Trebouxiophyceae; Chlorellales; Chlorellaceae. The record is from RNAcentral.
AAGCAUAUCAAUAAGCGGAGGAAGAGAAACUAACGAGGAUUCCCCUAGUAACGGCGAGCGAACCGGGAAUAGCCCAGCAUGGAAAUCUUCCAAAAGUGAUGUUUUUUUGGAAGAGUUGUAGUUUUCGUGCCCGCACCUUGCCGCACAUUUCGUGGUCUGCCAAGUUUCCUGGAACGGGACGUCGUAGAGGGUGAGAGCCCCGUGGCGGACUGUGCAUUGUGCGGCUGUACCGGUGCGUUUCGGCGCCAGAGUCGGGUUGUUUGGGAAUGCAGCCCCAAGUCGGUGGUAAAUCCCAUCGAAGGCUAAAUACGUGCGGGAGACCGAUAGCGAACAAGUACCGUGAGGGAAAGAUGAAAAGAACUUUGAAAAGAGAGUCAAAAAGUGCUUGAAAUUGUUGAGAGGGAAGCGAUGGACAAUGUUCGGUUUUGGGUUUGGGUCUGGGUUGGGUUGGUGCUCGUUCGAUUACGAGAGCACCGAUUCGUUACCCCUGGCCCCCUGGUCAGCAUCGGUUUCUUUGUGGGAGGCAGAAAUGCGGGGAUUUGCGUUGUCGGCGUUUUGGGUGUUUCUCGGAAUGCCCGCGUCCGGCAGGCCCCGCGCAUGCCCCCCCGGAGACCGAGGAAGAGGAGUCCCUUCUCUGUGAUGCUGGCCGAAGCCGGUCCAUCGGCCCGUCUUGAAACACGGACC